AGUGAACGCUGGCGGUAGGCCUAACACAUGCAAGUCGAACGGCAGCACAGUAAGAGCUUGCUCUUACGGGUGGCGAGUGGCGGACGGGUGAGGAAUACAUCGGAAUCUACUUUUUCGUGGGGGAUAACGUAGGGAAACUUACGCUAAUACCGCAUACGACCUACGGGUGAAAGCAGGGGAUCUUCGGACCUUGCGCGAUUGAAUGAGCCGAUGUCGGAUUAGCUAGUUGGCGGGGUAAAGGCCCACCAAGGCGACGAUCCGUAGCUGGUCUGAGAGGAUGAUCAGCCACACUGGAACUGAGACACGGUCCAGACUCCUACGGGAGGCAGCAGUGGGGAAUAUUGGACAAUGGGCGAAAGCCUGAUCCAGACAUACCGCGUGGGUGAAGAAGGCCUUCGGGUUGUAAAGCCCUUUUGUUGGGAAAGAAAAGCAGAAGGUUAAUACCCCGCUGUUCUGACGGUACCCAAAGAAUAAGCACCGGCUAACUUCGUG
RNAcentral lists this ribosomal RNA (492 nucleotides) under uncultured bacterium. RNAcentral's name for it is "partial 16S ribosomal RNA". It matches the Rfam family "Bacterial small subunit ribosomal RNA", at positions 29 to 507 of the family's 1533-position model. The record is from RNAcentral.